UAAUUAUGUGAGACAUGAGUCCGAGAGAUACAUCAUGCAGAAUUGGUCCACUACACCAGGAACGGAGCAUAGCGGUGGAGAAAUUGGGGCAUUUCACCUUGGCACCGCAAAAUAACCAUGCGGAAGAGUUAUCCCUUCAUCUACCGCAAUAACAGCGGUGAUUGCGUCUAGAAACGCCACAGGGAGCUGGGUAGCACGCGAAACACCGCCAUCGCUACAAUACCGUGCCCAACUGCUGCCGAUCCAUCCUCUUUUAUCUAGCGUCGAGGUUUUGCCUCUCAUCCAUAACUCCUGAAACCCAAAGUCCCUCAUCCACGGUGUGCGAAAUCCACAACCUCUGCCCCAGGUUGUCGAGACGCGCAGCUGCCAUCCGAGCUUAUCCCACCAGCAACGAAGUUUCCUAUCUCCUCAAUUGAAACCAUGACACCCUGCUCCACAGUGCGCCAAUCUCGGCCAUCACUGCCUUUCCCCUGUUACUGGAAGCUUUUCUGAUAGAGUUGAAGGAAGUGGUCGUGAUGAUGAUAUGAGCUGCACAUCCAGAAGACGCCAAUUAAAAAAAUUGCUAAUAUUUACUACGAGAGUCAAAUGUAGGCAAAAUUAAUUGCCAGUAUUUAUUAAAUUAGUUUUUAAAAGAUAAAUUUUAAAUAAACUUUUAGUAUUUAUUUUUGAUGAAUUAAAUUGAAAAUAAUUUUCAAU
Arachis ipaensis is the source of this 696-nucleotide non-coding RNA. The record is from RefSeq and is a predicted model, not a curated record. NCBI's taxonomy places the organism in Eukaryota, Viridiplantae, Streptophyta, Magnoliopsida, Fabales, Fabaceae.